Molecule: ribosomal RNA, 256 nt
Filed under: uncultured bacterium
Lineage: Bacteria
Description: partial 16S ribosomal RNA
Rfam family: Bacterial small subunit ribosomal RNA
Source: RNAcentral
UACGGGGGGGGGGCAAGCGUUGUUCGGAAUUACUGGGCGAAAGGGCUCGUAGGCGCCAACUAAGUCAGACGUGAAAUCCCCUCGGCUUAACCGGGGGAACUGCGUCUGAUACUGGUUGGCUUGAGUGUGGGAGAGGGAUGCGGAAUUCCAGGUGUAGCGGUGAAAUGCGUAGAUAUCUGGAGGAACACCGGUGGCGAAGGCGGCAUCCUGGACCUUACUGACGCUGAGGGAGCGAAAAGCCAGGGGGAGCAAACGG